RNAcentral lists this ribosomal RNA (758 nucleotides) under Nosema maddoxi. RNAcentral describes it as "partial large subunit ribosomal RNA gene". It matches the Rfam family "Eukaryotic large subunit ribosomal RNA", at positions 52 to 1197 of the family's 3401-position model. Lineage: Eukaryota; Fungi; Microsporidia; Nosematidae. The record is from RNAcentral.
GGAGGAAAAGAAACUAACAAGGAUUUCUUUAGUAGUGGCGAAUGAACAAGAAAAAACUCAUUAUGUAAUCUAUAUUUAUAUAGAGAUGUUAAAAUAUUAUUGUUGUUAUUAAAAUCAUAGAUACAAUAAUUUUGUAGUAAAUGAUGACAAUAAAUAAUUAAUGUAGGAGUACGAUUGCUUGGUAGUGCAAUUGGAAUAUAGAUAGAAUAAAAUAUCUAAAGUUAAAUAUAAAUGACAUACCGAUAGAGAAUAAGUACUGCGAAGGAACUUGUGAAAAUGAUAGUAUUAUAGCUUAUAGUAAUUAUAAGACCCGUCUUGAAACACGGACCAAGGAGAUUACCAAAUGACAGUAUAUAAUCAUAGGUGAUUUUAUGUCAUUUGGUAAGACCCGAAACAUAGUGAACUAUAUAUGUCAAUGGUUGAAGAUAAACGACCGUUUAUUGGAAGACCUAAGUCAUUCUGACGUGCAAAUCGAUGGUGAAAGAUGUAUAUAGUGGCGAAAGACCAAUCGAACUAUGUGGUAGCUGGUUCACAGCGAAAUGUCUCUUAGGACAGUUGAGUAUAAUUUUAUAAAAAAGUAAAUAGAUGUAGAGUCAAUACAAUAUUUUAUUAUAUUGUUUAACUUCUAAUUCUAUAAAUAAGUAUGUUUUAUUUUUUAAUACUUAUUAAUUAUUCUUGAUACUCAAGUGGGCGUAUGAUUGUAAGAAUGAUAUGCAAUAAGGGAUGAACCUUUAGAUACACUAAAAUUUCUAAUAGUA